Molecule: long non-coding RNA, 431 nt
Organism: Schistocerca serialis cubense
Lineage: Eukaryota; Metazoa; Arthropoda; Insecta; Orthoptera; Acrididae
Exons: 3
Source: RefSeq, a predicted model, not a curated record
UUCACCUCGCAAGAUUUCGUCGGAAUUCAUGGUGUUUUAAAAGAGUGCCGCAUUUCCCUACGAGUGUCAAGUACGUUUAGAGCGUUGUUGCUUCUCGUGUAACACAGUGACAGUGCUCUACCGCCGUCUACAGCGCAAAACUGUCUAAAAACAGCUGUGUGGCCAGUUGGCAACGCGCUGGCACCGUAGCAGACCUUGGAUGACGUCAGUAGCUGUGGCAACGGUACCCACCACAGCGGACGCACCGGGAUCUGGAUGCAGGGAUGACGGGAACAGCGACUGUGGAAUAUGAACUAGUUCCACCCGAUGGAGGGUGGGGCUGGAUGAUUGUUUUAGGGGCAGCGCUCUCCAAUAUGACUGGUCAGUGCCUGGUAGCCAUAUUCAGCAUACUGUUUGGUGACAAGAUGCUGUCCCUAGGAUUCAACACAACG